UGGCUCUCGCAUCGAUGAAGAACGCAGCGAAAUGCGAUAAGUAAUGUGAAUUGCAGAAUUCAGUGAAUCAUCGAAUCUUUGAACGCACCUUGCGCCUCUUGGUAUUCCGAGAGGCAUGCCUGUUUGAGUGUCAUUAAAUUCUCAACUUCUAUAGUUUUUAUAACUGUAUGAAGCUUGGAUGUGGAGGCUUUUGCUGGACUUUCAUUAGUUCGGCUCCUCUUAAAUGUAUUAGUGGAGACUGCUUGCGGUCCACAACUAGUGUGAUAAUUAUCUACGCUGCUUGUUGGUACUGCACGCUUUGUAGUGCUUCGUAUUGGGAAGUUUGCAUUCUUAAACCAAUGCUCUUUCUGCUUUCAAAUGAACCUACUCAUAAGUGAAGUCUUUCCGCUUCUAACCGUCCUGCAAGGGACAAUUCUUUUGACUUUUUGACCUCAAAUCAGGUAGGACUACCCGCUGA
This 457-nucleotide unclassified non-coding RNA is filed under the name uncultured fungus. RNAcentral's name for it is "partial contains 5.8S ribosomal RNA and internal transcribed spacer 2". The stretch from base 1 to 133 matches the Rfam family "5.8S ribosomal RNA", at positions 22 to 154 of the family's 154-position model. The record is from RNAcentral. Lineage: Eukaryota; Fungi.